RNAcentral lists this unclassified non-coding RNA (269 nucleotides) under plant metagenome. RNAcentral describes it as "partial contains small subunit ribosomal RNA, internal transcribed spacer 1, and 5.8S ribosomal RNA". The record is from RNAcentral.
UUUCCGUAGGUGAACCAGCGGAGGGAUCAUUACUGAGUUGUCAUGGGCUUCAGUCCUGGAAGACAAUUUUGGGUCGUAUGUGCGUGCCCUAACAACCAUCUCCCAAACACCCGUGCACAUUUUUGAGUGCGUCUGGCCCUGGUUGCCGCUCUUGGGUGGUUUCCUCGCAUUCCCAUAAACCAUAAUACGCUAUUACUUAUGUUCAACGUGCUCUGUGCCGCAAGCCUAUUAAUAUAAUAAAACUUUUAACAACGGAUCUCUUGGCUCUC